GGAUUAGAUACCCUGGUAGUCCACGCCGUAAACGAUGAGCACUAGUUGUUGCGGGUAUUGACCCCUGCAGUGACGAAGCUAACGCAUUAAGUGCUCCGCCUGGGGACUACGGCCGCAAGGCUAAAACUCAAAGGAAUUGACGGGGGCCCGCACAAGCGGUGGAGUAUGUGGUUUAAUUCGACAACGCGCAGAACCUUACCCGGCCUUGACAUCGAGGGAAAGCCCUAUGAAAGUAGGGCCCUCUUCUUCGGAAGACCCGAAGACAGGUGCUGCAUGGCUGUCGUCAGCUCGUGUCG
RNAcentral lists this ribosomal RNA (296 nucleotides) under uncultured bacterium. RNAcentral's name for it is "partial 16S ribosomal RNA". It matches the Rfam family "Bacterial small subunit ribosomal RNA", at positions 775 to 1067 of the family's 1533-position model. The record is from RNAcentral.